Molecule: long non-coding RNA, 3213 nt
Organism: Gopherus evgoodei (Goodes thornscrub tortoise)
Lineage: Eukaryota; Metazoa; Chordata; Testudines; Testudinidae
Exons: 4
Source: RefSeq, a predicted model, not a curated record
AUAUACCCUAAAACUGAAGGGAAUUCCCUUUGGAUCCUCAUGCUAGAAUGUCCCAACAGGUGCAUUUCUCCCAGUGAAGAAUUUCAUCUUGCCCCCAUAGGGAGUGAAAACCCUCUGCAAUGCUUCUACUGGCCUGGGCAGAAUUCAGCUGAGCCAAGGGAACUAUCUGGAUUUUCAUAUGAGCCACAGCUCACAGAGUUGCUGUUAGUCUGUGAUGCUUCUAGUUUAGACUCUAAUGGGCCUUGUGAUGAUUUAUUCCAGCUGCUCAGCUCACUUUGGAUUCAACAGGAAUCUUCAUAUAGUUUACUAUGGCAUUGGCUACAAGCUUUGUCUUUGGUGUGACAUCUAAAGCACAAUUGACCUGGGGUGCUGGCUUCGUACAAAGAGCUGCAGUUUAGCAACUAUGGAUGCUGAUGUGGCUAUUCAGAUUUCAUCCUGAAGACAAAGGCAGGUCUCUCCAUCUGAGAAAGGCUGCAGUUUGUAGGAUUCCACCAGCUGCUGAAGGUCAUCAGACUGAUGUGCAUGGCUGCACUUGUACAUAUGGAAUCUCAUGGAACCUGAAGAGAGCUUGUUUUUGCCGGUUUUUGCCUAAAACAUGAAUAUUUACAUUUGUAUCUCUCCCUGCAUUUCAGCUGUAUACACCUGGGAUAGUCAUUUCCAGAGUUACUAAUCCUUAUGCUUCAAGAUCUGAAUUACUACCUUGGAUCAGGAAGGAAUUUACACCCUAAUGGCAUAAUAUCCUGCUAAGGGCUUUGUGGGAUUUAGUCUUUAUUCAGAGUAUCAGCCAUUGGCCAGAGUGCAAGACAGUGGAUCAGAUCCUCAGUGGGCCUAAACCAACAUUGUUCCCCUGACUUCCAUGAAGCAAUGCUCAUUUACACCAAUUCAGGAUCUGACCCAGAAUCUACAAUCUAUGCGCCUGGUUUAGCAGUUCCUCAGCACCUCACAUUCCAGCAGCAUGAAUGAUCAUUUAGUAGGCACUUUGCUUCUUACUGCCGUGGCUUCAGCGCUCUGUUGGAAUGAGCACAAAAGGGCAAAGGGCAACUGCAGAGCACAAAGAUGACAAAAUAAAAUAGGGAGAACCUGUGGGCUGUUAGGAUCCUAAUGGAGAGCCCUGUGACGAAAUGCAAUCAGACAGAAAGGACAGAUGUAAAGUAAGCUACAUAGGUGAAAGUGUUCACUUUAAACUGUCAGCACUAAUUUAAGCCAAACUUAAAUAAAAAAAUAAACCAGAGCAGCUGGAUCUAGGAAGUGGUUGAUUGACCUCAGCAUUGGUCAUUUUCCUUUUCUGCUCUUAAACCAUUGUUCGUCAGCUUCCACUUAAAGCAAACCAAAGCUGUCAGUCUAACCACAAUCAAAACCAGUGGGUUUGCAUUCUUAUAUUAUUUCUCUGCAUAUUAUUUGACAUGCAUUAAGAAAAAGCACAAAGCGUUACUUAAAAAUCUUUCCUCUCCAUGUAAAAAGGUGCUGUGUUGUGCUGCUUAAGUGGAAGUCCUACCAAAAUAAUUUAUACUAGCAUAAUGCUCUGUACCCUAGAGAACCUCAAACUGCUGAGCUCACUGAAAAUGACCUGCCGAUUAUAGAUGAGGGUCAGUGCAAUCAUUGUACCGGGGAAACAGUAUUGUGUGGUACUUUGGGUACAGGAUUGUGAUGCAAAGAUGACAGAUUCUACUUUUGGCUCUACAAAUGAACCUGCUGAGUGAACUUGGAGGAGUUUAAUCUUCUCUCUCUUUUUCCUCCCAUCACUUGUCUUAUCUAGAGAGAAUGUGAGCUCCUUCGGGCAAAGAUUAUCUCUUACUAUGUGCUUGUAUAGUGCCUAGCACAGGGGGUCCCCAGUUGCAGUUGCAGCCUCUCUAGGCACAGCUGUAAUACAAAUAAAUACUAAACUCAACUGCAACUUCCUUUGAAGUGAAACAUGGCAACUGUAUAGAAGUAUACAAUAGCAUAUACUCAACAUGGAUGGUGAGGUGGGAGAGCUUAAGCAGAACAUGAAUUUGGCCAGGACACUGGAUUUAACAUCCCACCUCUUGUGGAAAAAGCUGUAGCCCCUGGUUUUAUUUCUUAGCUUAAUCAGCACUGAUGAUUAGAGAGAAACACCCAGCUCCUCAAAAGGUAUUUACGUGUCAAAUACCUUUGAAGACUGAGCCAAAUUUAAAAAAAAUUGAUGUUAUUCAUCACAUCAGUACCGUAAAGCCUACCCAAAAGAUUAACAUAACACUGGUGCGGUUGGUGAUGGCCUUCCUUAAUGGUGAUGGCCAUCAUUCAAUCUAAUUAAUACUGCAGGGUCAAUGAUUUCUUUACACCCAUUCUGAGAGCACCUUUUCUCAAAGUAUCUGGGCUACCUGUGGGAAAGCCAAAUUGUGUUUCUUCAAAAAUUCUGUCACAUGAUCAGUGUCACUGCCACUGUCACUCAUUCAACCUCCUGCAGGGAACUCACUCUGAUACUGAAAAACAAAUAUGUUCAUUAUGUUUAUUUUCUGAGCCGUUUCUCAGAAGCUACUAACGGAUGACAUAUGGUUUACUUACUCGACUUUCUAUUGUGGGAUUUCCAACAUUCCCCCAUAUAGGUAUAGAGUGCUGGUACGAGGAGCAUUUAUCAAUACCUGAGUGGGCGACUGGAUGGCUCAAGAAAUUACCAACAUAAUACCUCUCACUCCUAGGUUACCAGAUUAAGUCCAAACCAUGGAGUAGUGUCUAAAAGGUGUUAUCCCACAGUUUGUCAGCAAACCAGUUCAGUUCUCAUUCCUGUGUGGAUAAAGACACGUUAACCUCAGAUUAUUAACAAGUUUAAAUUUAGGCAUGUGAUUAAGUCACUUGCUUAAUCAGGGCCCAAAUCUAGUAACAGACUUUAGAAAACAACAAUUAUCUGUCAAAGUGAUUGUUCAUAUAGUGAAACAGUAUCUGGUGCUGAGGGAGCUUCUAAAAUCUAUAUAUAGGAUAAUUUUGCAACGUAUAAAGCCAAAAUUUUCAAAAAUACAACCUAAGAUCAGACUUCUGAGUCCAUAUUUAACUUUAGACUCCUAUUCAUAAAGUUUUGCCUAAAUGUUUUGAUUCACUCAUUUUUGUUAUUUUAUUUGACCCUCAUCCGGAAUACCACAAUAGUAUUGAGAAAAUGAAGUGUACGGCACUGGCGUUCUUAAUGGCUAACUGUACGGAAAUCUGAGCAAUAUAAUUAAUGAAGGUGAUUUAUCAUUAUCCCUCUCCUUUAAAUAUUAG